GACGAACGCUGGCGGCGUGCUUAACACAUGCAAGUCGAACGGAAAGGCCCUGCUUUUGUGGGGUGCUCGAGUGGCGAACGGGUGAGUAACACGUGAGUAACCUGCCCUUGACUUUGGGAUAACUUCAGGAAACUGGGGCUAAUACCGGAUAGGAGCUCCUGCUGCAUGGUGGGGGUUGGAAAGUUUCGGCGGUUGGGGAUGGACUCGCGGCUUAUCAGCUUGUUGGUGGGGUAGUGGCUUACCAAGGCUUUGACGGGUAGCCGGCCUGAGAGGGUGACCGGCCACAUUGGGACUGAGAUACGGCCCAGACUCCUACGGGAGGCAGCAGUGGGGAAUAUUGCACAAUGGGCGGAAGCCUGAUGCAGCAACGCCGCGUGCGGGAUGACGGCCUUCGGGUUGUAAACCGCUUUCGCCUGUGACGAAGCGUGAGUGACGGUAAUGGGUAAAGAAGCACCGGCUAACUACGUGCCAGCAGCCGCGGUGAUACGUAGGGUGCGAGCGUUGUCCGGAUUUAUUGGGCGUAAAGGGCUCGUAGGUGGUUGAUCGCGUCGGAAGUGUAAUCUUGGGACUUAACCCUGAGCGUGCUUUCGAUACGGGUUGACUUGAGGAAGGUAGGGGAGAAUGGAAUUCCUGGUGGAGCGGUGGAAUGCGCAGAUAUCAGGAGGAACACCAGUGGCGAAGGCGGUUCUCUGGGCCUUUCCUGACGCUGAGGAGCGAAAGCGUGGGGAGCGAACAGGCUUAGAUACCCUGGUAGUCCACGCUGUAAACGGUGGGUACUAGGUGUGGGGUCCAUUCCACGGGUUCCGUGCCGUAGCUAACGCUUUAAGUACCCCGCCUGGGGAGUACGGCCGCAAGGCUAAAACUCAAAGGAAUUGACGGGGCCCCGCACAAGCGGCGGAGCAUGCGGAUUAAUUCGAUGCAACGCGUAGAACCUUACCUGGGUUUGACAUGGAUCGGGAGUGCUCAGAGAUGGGUGUGCCUCUUUUGGGGUCGGUUCACAGGUGGUGCAUGGCUGUCGUCAGCUCGUGUCGUGAGAUGUUGGGUUAAGUCCCGCAACGAGCGCAACCCUUGUUCACUGUUGCCAGCACGUUAUGGUGGGGACUCAGUGGAGACCGCCGGGGUCGACUCGGAGGAAGGUGGGGAUGACGUCAAGUCAUCAUGCCCCUUAUGUCCAGGGCUUCACGCAUGCUACAAUGGCUGGUACAGAGAGUGGCGAGCCUGUGAGGGUGAGCGAAUCUCGGAAAGCCGGUCUCAGUUCGGAUUGGGGUCUGCAACUCGACCUCAUGAAGUCGGAGUCGCUAGUAAUCGCAGAUCAGCAACGCUGCGGUGAAUACGUUCCCGGGGCU
RNAcentral lists this ribosomal RNA (1346 nucleotides) under uncultured bacterium. RNAcentral's name for it is "partial 16S ribosomal RNA". It matches the Rfam family "Bacterial small subunit ribosomal RNA", at positions 28 to 1381 of the family's 1533-position model. The record is from RNAcentral.